CUUUUGGAAAUUUCUCAAGCAAAUCACUCAAUGCACUCUUCCCUAGCCAAGACAUCAUCAGGAAGCAGUAAGGACUGAGUCCUGCUUCACCCACAGCCCCCAGGCUGACGCUCGGCCUGGUCCCUCAGAAGGUGCCUGUGGGGGCGGCCGCCACCAGGAGAGGAAGGGAGACGUCUAAUGGCACCCUGGGUCCUCCAGGCACACGGAUACAUAGGAGCUCAGC
Molecule: long non-coding RNA, 223 nt
Filed under: Anas platyrhynchos platyrhynchos (common mallard)
Lineage: Eukaryota; Metazoa; Chordata; Aves; Anseriformes; Anatidae
Description: lncRNA (ENSAPLG00000017193.1)
Source: RNAcentral